This 1275-nucleotide ribosomal RNA is filed under the name Heterorhabdidae sp. 71 CWD-2021. RNAcentral describes it as "SSU rRNA". It matches the Rfam family "Eukaryotic small subunit ribosomal RNA", at positions 450 to 1750 of the family's 1831-position model. Lineage: Eukaryota; Metazoa; Arthropoda; Copepoda; Calanoida; Heterorhabdidae. The record is from RNAcentral.
GACCGAAGGUCGAGGUAGUGACGAAAAAUAACGAUACCGGACUCAUCCGAGGCCCGGUAAUCGGAAUGAGUACACUUUAAAACCGUCACCGAGGAUCUAUUGGAGGGCAAGUCUGGUGCCAGCAGCCGCGGUAAUUCCAGCUCCAAUAGCGUAUAUUAAAGUUGUUGCGGUUAAAAAGCUCGUAGUUGGAUCUCGGCGGGUAGAGGGCGGUAUGCUUGCUUGCAUUACUACCCUAUUACCCGUAGUUUUGCUAGAGGUUUCAGGGUGCUCUUAAUCGAGUGUCCUGGGAUGCUAGCAGGUUUACUUUGAAAAAAUUAGAGUGCUCAAAGCAGGCUACUACGCUUGAAUAUUCGUGCAUGGAAUAAUAGAAUAGGAAAUCGUUUCUAUUUUGUUGGUUUUCGGAAAUCGAUUUAAUGAUUAAUAGGGACAGUCGGGGGCAUUUGUAUUCAAACGACAGAGGUGAAAUUCUUGGACCGUUUGAAGACAAACUACUGCGAAAGCAUUUGCCAAGAAUGUUUUCAUUAAUCAAGAACGAAAGUUAGAGGUUCGAAGGCGAUUAGAUACCGCCCUAGUUCUAACCAUAAACGAUGCCAGCUAGCGAUCUGAGGACGUUUUUUUUGUAGACUCCUCAGGAAGCUUCCGGGAAACCAAAGCGUGUGGGUUCCGGGGGAAGUAUGGUUGCAAAGCUGAAACUUAAAGGAAUUGACGGAAGGGCACCACCAGGAGUGGAGCCUGCGGCUUAAUUUGACUCAACACGGGAAAUCUCACCAGGCCCGGACACUGGAAGGAUUGACAGAUUGAGAGCUCUUUCUCGAUUCGGUGGGUGGUGGUGCAUGGCCGUUCUUAGUUGGUGGAGUGAUUUGUCUGGUUAAUUCCGAUAACGAACGAGACUCUGUCCUGCUAAAUAGUGCAAGCCUCUCUUCUUGGGCUUGCAAUUCUUCUUAGAGGGACUGGCGGCUCCUAGCCGCACGAGAUAGAGCAAUAACAGGUCUGUGAUGCCCUUAGAUGUUCUGGGCCGCACGCGCGCUACACUGAAUAGAUCAGCGUGUUCUCCCUUCCUGAGAAGGACGGGUAAACCGCUGAACCCUAUUCGUGGUAGGGAUCGGGGCUUGCAAUUAUUCCCCGUGAACCAGGAAUUCCCAGUAGGCGCAAGUCAUAAGCUUGCGUCGAUUACGUCCCUGCCCUUUGUACACACCGCCCGUCGCUACUACCGAUUGAACGUUUUAGUGAGGUCCACGGACUGUUGCCAAGCGGAUUGUUCUGUCUGGCUGGCGG